AUACAGAGGGUGCAAGCGUUAAUCGGAAUUACUGGGCGUAAAGCGCGCGUAGGCGGCUUGGUCAGUCGGAUGUGAAAGCCCCGGGCUCAACCUGGGAACUGCAUUCGAUACUGCUAGGCUAGAGUAUGGUAGAGGGUAGUGGAAUUCCUGGUGUAGCGGUGAAAUGCGUAGAUAUCAGGAGGAAUACCAGUGGCGAAGGCGGCUACCUGGACCAAUACUGACGCUGAGGUGCGAAAGCGUGGGGAGCAAACAGGAUUAGAAACCCUAGUAGUCC
This 274-nucleotide ribosomal RNA is filed under the name uncultured bacterium. Its description in RNAcentral is "partial 16S ribosomal RNA". It matches the Rfam family "Bacterial small subunit ribosomal RNA", at positions 523 to 796 of the family's 1533-position model. The record is from RNAcentral.